AGUGAAGAAAUGAAUAGAGAACAACAUUAUGAAGAUAUAAAAGAUUUAUUUAAAGAAGAAAAUAUUAAAGAUUUUUAUGUGCAAGAAUCAGGAAGGAGACGUGCUGACAAGUGUAAUAGAAGUACAACACAAUAUUGACACGAACACUGAUAGACCGAUAUAUACGAAGUUAUAUCGAUACCCCGAAAUACAUAAAAAUGAAAUUAAAAACCAAAUUACGGAAAUGGAAAAAAUGGAAUAAUAAGGAAAAGCUGUUCGCCUUACAAUGCACCCUUAUGGAUCGUUCCAAAGAAAAUGGAUAAUUCAGGAAUGCGAAAAUGGAGAAUACUUGUUGACUAUCGCAAAUUAAGUGAAAUCACGAUUGAAGACAAGUUUCCUAUACCUAAUAUCGAAAGUAUUUUUGAUAAGUUAGGAAUAGCUCAAUAUUUCACAACGUUGGAUUUGGCUAAAGGAUUUCAUCAGAUUUUAGUAAACCCGAAGGAUAGACAUAAAACCGCAUUUUCAACAGAAUACGGACAUUAUGAAUACGUUCGAAUGCCAUUUGGAUUAAAAAACGCACCAGCAACUUUUCAACGCAUGAUGAACCAUGUCCUACAACCAUUCAUAAACAAUAUUUGUGUAGUUUAUCUCGAUGACAUACUAAUUUUCAGUACAAGUCUUCAGGAACACGUAAGUUCAGUUCAAAAAAUAUUCAACAAACUAAGAGAAUAUAAUUUAAAAAUUCAGAUUGAUAAAUGUUCAUUUUUUAAAAAAGAAACAGAUUUUUUAGGUCACAUCAUCUCGAACGAAGGACUAAAACCAAACCCGAAGAAAAUUGAAGUGAUAGAAAAAAUUAAACUACCUAAUACUGUCAAGGAAAUCAAAUCAUUCUUGGGAAUAACAGGAUAUUACAGGAAGUUUAUAAAAGAUUAUAGUCGCAUUGCAUAUUCUAUGGUAAAGUAUUUAAAGAAAGAUAAGAAAAUUGAUACAAAUGGCAUAAAAUAUAUUAAUGCUUUUGAAAAAUUAAAGCAACUUCUCAUUGAUUAUCCAAUUUUAAAAUACCCAAAUUUCGAAAAACAAUUUGUCUUAACGACCGAUGCAAGUACAUUCGCAAUUGGUGCUGUACUUUCACAAGACGGGCAUCCCAUUUGUUACGCAAGUAGAACACUUUGUGACAGUGAAAAAAAUUAUUCAACAAUAGAAAAGGACUCUUAGCAAUAGUAUGGGCAUGUAAAUAUUUUCGGCCGUAUUUAUAUGGCAAACGUUUUAAAUUACAAACAGACCACAAACCAUUAAUAUGGUUAAACAACUUAAAACAGGAAAAUAGCAAAUUUACCAGAUGGAAAUUAGCUCUUAACGAGUAUUUAUUUGAUAUUGAAUAUAUACUUAUGUAAAAGGAAAAGAGAACAACGUUGCAGAUUUUCUAAGCAGACUUCAAGUAAAUGCAUUGGACGAAGAUAUGGAUGUUGACGAAACAACUUGUGCAACUAUACAUAGCGCAAUGGAAGACACUGAUGAUCACAUCUGGAUAACAGAAAAACCUGUUAAUCUAUUUAAAACUCAAAUAAUAAUAACAUAAAACAAAGUAAAAGGAAAAGAUGUUAUUGACACAACAAUUUUCAAAAAUAGAUGAAUUUACAUUUAUGAAAAUAUGAUAAAUGAAAAUUUUGGGGAAAUCUUAAAGAAUUUAAAUUUAAAAAAUUUUACUGUAUAUUGUCCGAAUGAAAUGAAAUAUAUCCUAUUCCAAAGACACUUCAUAAAAAUAUUCGGAAAUUCGAAUAUAAAAGCACUUAAAAGUAAUAUACUUUUAGAUGAUAUUGAAGAUGAAGAAAAAGUCUUCGAAAUCAUAGAAAAGGAACAUUUAAGGCUCAACCAUCGCGGUAUAGACGAAAUUUUUAAACAAUUAAUGGACAAAAUAUAUAUUCCAAAAUUAAAACAAUUAAUUACAAGAUUUAUAAAUAAUUGCGAAAUAUGUCAAUCAGCAAAACAUGAUAGACCUGAAGAAAAAAUCAAAUUCGAGAAAACGGAAAUUCCAAAUUCUACAAACGAAAUAAAACACGAAGAUUUAUAUAUUGCGGAAAGACAAAUAUUUUUCACGUUUAUUGAUAAAUUUAGUUAACAUUUAUUUAUUGUACCGAUUACUGAUAGAAAUAGUCAAACGUUUAUUGAAACUUUAAAUUAUAGACAUUCAAUUUUUGGAAAACCAAAAAGAUACGUUUUUGAUAAUGAGUUUAAUAAUUCGUACAUGCGUGAAUAUUUUAAUAACGAAGAAAUGAACGUACACUUUACAUCACCAUUAGUUAAAACGGGUAAUAGUGAUGUAAAAAGAGUACACGGAACCAUAAAUGAACACUUGAGACUUUUAAAAUCACAAAAUAACAAAGAAACGAUUACAAAAAGAAUAGUAAAAUCAGUACAAUUUUAUAAUAAUAGUAUUCAUUCGACUACAAAUAAAAAACCAAUCGAUUUUAUUUCUAAUAAAAUAAUAAAAAUUGGAUGCAAUAGAGGAUUUUAAUAAGGUAUAUCAUAUUAUAGAUUUAGCAGACUAUGAAAGUAUAAUAACAAAACUAAAUAUCGCAAUAGAGAAAUUUAAUAACACAUUUCAAAAUAAUAAAUCAACAAACAAUUUAAUAUUCCCAUUAAAUAUAGCACGAAAUAAAUUAACUUCAAUCAAACCUUUAAAAAUUAGACAAAUAAGAGCAUUAGCAAACACCGUAGGAAAAGGAUUAAAUAUUUUAUAUGGUACAAUGGAUGAUGAUGAUAGACAGGAAUUAAGUGAACAUUUAAAAAUAAUUGAAGCAAAUGACCACAAAUUAAUAAAUGAACACAAUAAAAAAAUUAAGGUUAAUUUAGAACUACAACAAAAAAUUGAAAUACAUAAAGAGUAAUGUGCUAGAAAUAAAGACAAAUUUAAUAGUAAUAAUAAUGAUACCACAAUUUUGCAAGGAAGAAUAUUUUGAAAUUGAAAUUUUGCCAAUUCCAAACAAAUUUAAUAAAGAAAUAAAUAUUGAUAAACAAAGAUAUAUUACGAAUACAGGAAAAGUUUUUGAUUAUACAAAUGAAAUAAUUCUUAAAGAAAAAUUAAAUUUAAGUAAUAAAUGUAUUCAAAAUAUAUUUAAAGGAAAAUUCGAUUUUUGUACAAGUAGAACAAAUAAUGAAACAAUAAUUAAAGACAUUGAAAAAGGAAUUGUAUUUACAAAAAAAUUAUAAAAACCCAAAAUAAAACACAAUUGUAAUAAAAUGCGGUAUGAAAUUCAAGGAAAUUAUUUAAUUGAAUUUAAAAAUUGUUCUAUAGAUAUUGAUGAAAAUAUUUUUGAAAAUAUUGAUAAUAUAUUUUACAAUGUAAUUAUUUUACCAUUUUAUGAAGAAAUGAAUGUCACUUUAAAUAUAAAUAACUUGCAAGAAGUUCAUUUAAAAAAUAUAGAAAAUACAAAACAAAUUAAAGAAUUAAAAUAUAAUCACAAAACAAAUAUAAAUUAUUAUAUUUCACUAACAGUUAUAAUUACAGUUAUAUUAAUAAUAUUACUAACGAAAUAUUGUAUAAAAUAUAAGAAUUUUUGUAAAAGACUGCAAGAGGAACAAUCUUCGAAUCAAAAUAUUGAACUUCAGGAGCAGUUCAAGCCUAAGGAGAGGGGAGUUACACAUUCAGCCACCACAUCUACCACCACAUCAACCACCACAUCUAGCAUCAUACUUAACACACUACCAAUGAUCGGCACAAUAUCACCAACAACAACAGCAAACGCAAUUCAGCCAAUAUUUCAAACAACAAGUACUGGACAUUAGAGUUAUUAUACAUACAUACUUACGUAUAACAUAAUUCGACACCAAAUUUAUAAACAAA
Molecule: long non-coding RNA, 3823 nt
Organism: Bactrocera neohumeralis
Lineage: Eukaryota; Metazoa; Arthropoda; Insecta; Diptera; Tephritidae
Exons: 2
Source: RefSeq, a predicted model, not a curated record